Phrynosoma platyrhinos (Desert horned lizard) is the source of this 72-nucleotide non-coding RNA. The record is from the annotation of a GenBank genome assembly. NCBI's taxonomy places the organism in Eukaryota, Metazoa, Chordata, Lepidosauria, Squamata, Phrynosomatidae.
ACCAGCGUGGCGUAGUGGUUUGAGUGUUGGACUAUGGCUCUGGAGACUGGGAUUCGAUUCCCAGCUCAGCCA